GAUAGACUUAGGGGGAAAGGGCCUGCCAUUGGAUCACCCUUAAGUGCUGACUGGGUUGGAUUCACGGCUGAGGAGUCUGAGAUGCUGAAAGCUGGGUACCGAAAGAGAUCUUUCUACGGUGGACCAGACUACAAAUGUACCAACUGUGGUGCAGUCUAUUGGUUUGAGGAGAGGGUGAGAUCGGAAUCCGCUAUUACGCUAAGGCGGGUGGUUUACAACAAAUGGUGUAAGGGUGGUAAGGUGUAUAUUACAACUUUUAAAAAGCCACCUUUGUUUCUCUCUGAGUUGCUGAGAUACAAUGGUCCCUCGCGUAGCAGAGAGUUUAUAAAAAAUCGCCAGUACAAAUGCCUCUUUGCAUUUACUUCCAUGGGAACUACUGUUGAUCGUUCUGUAAAUGAUGAUAAUGGUCCGAAUAUAUACAAAAUAAACGGGCAGGUUUGUCAUCGAAUGGGAUCUCUUAUGCCUAAGGAAGGAAAUAUCCCCAAGUAUGCCGAACUUUAUAUAUAUGAUACCCAGAAUGAGGUGCAAAACAGGAUUCAGGCUUUAGAAAAGGGUGAAAAGAGUGAUGGUGGUUUAGAUGAAUCUAUUGUUGAAGGCUUGAUGCAUAUGCUUGAUACUCACAAUUCUUAUGUCAAAACGUUUAGAUCAGCUAGAGAAAUACUAGCAGCCAAUAGGCAUGCCGAGAUAGCCAUUCGUUUAGUUGCCCCUGGAGAAUCUGAUGGCCCACAGUUUAGCCUCCCUACAACUGAUGAGUUAGCAUCUUUAAUGUUUGGUGAGUUCACGGUGGAGGCUUCUUGUCGUGACAUAAUAAUACAUGGUAGAGAUGACAAUCUGCAGCAAAUAUCUUCUUUGCAAACUUCAUACAUGCCUUUGAAGUAUCCUCUUCUCUUUCCUUAUGCAGAACGUGGGUUUCAGCUCGGGCUUAAAUAUAUUGGUUCAAAUCCUUUAGAUACUAGCAAAAGAACCAGGCUCACUAUGCAGGACUAUUAUUCCUAUUGUCUCCACUAUAGACCAGAGCAGCAUAAUCCAUACCUUUGUUGUGGUUUGCUUUCCUCACAGGCUAUUGUAGAUGCACACGCUUGCAUAGACGAGUGGAGGCUGCAUUUCAUUAUGAAGGCUAAUAAUGAUCUUAGAGCAGAGAACUUGCAAGGAGUCACUGAUGCUGUUGGAAAAGGGCAGACAGAUGCAAGUUCUGUUGGCAAAAAAAACAUACUUACAUCCUCUUUUACCGGUGGCCGGUGUUAUAUGAUUGAGAACUUCCAGGACGCAGUAGCUAUUUCACGUGUCUUUGGCCCACCAGACCUUUUCACCACCUUUACCUGUAAUCCCAAGUGGACUGAAAUAACAGAAGCCCUGUCUUCUGAGCCUGGCCAGAUGCCUUUAGACAGGGCGGAUCUUCCGGUCAGGGUGUAUCACAUGAAGCUCAAUGACUAUAUUCAUGAUAUUAAGAGUGGGGAGUCCUUUGGUCCUAUACUACACACUAUGGAGUUCCAGAAAAGAGGGCUUCCUCAUGCCCAUAUCCUGAUCUGGCUUGAUAGGAAAAAACGGGAGGUUAGUCCUGCUUUAAUUGACUCUUUCAUAUCGGCUUCCAUCCCUGAUCCUGUUGCGGAUCCUCUUGGAUACGUUCUUGUUUCUGAACACAUGAUGCAUGGCCCUUGCGGGGAAGAUGGUGUUAAAUGUCCUUGCAUGAAAAAUGGAUUGUGUUCAAAAAAAUUUCCUAAGGCAUUUCAGCUCGAGACCUCUCUAGAUGAUAGUGGAUUCCCUGUGUAUAGUCGCCCAGACAACGGCCGUUUUAUAUUUUAAAAAAAGGUCAGGCUUGAUAACAGGCAUGUUGUUCCUUAUAAUCUGCUCAUACUAAAAAAAUACCAAGCGCAUAUUAACGUUGAGUGGUGCAAUAAAACCCAUGUUAUCAAGUAUCUUUAUAAGUAUGUUACAAAGGGUCCUGAUUUUUCAAAAACUUUGUUUGAAAGCAUCAAAAAC
RNAcentral lists this ribosomal RNA (1980 nucleotides) under Triticum aestivum (bread wheat). RNAcentral's name for it is "partial small subunit ribosomal RNA". The record is from RNAcentral. Lineage: Eukaryota; Viridiplantae; Streptophyta; Magnoliopsida; Poales; Poaceae.